Molecule: small nucleolar RNA, 89 nt
Filed under: Drosophila erecta
Lineage: Eukaryota; Metazoa; Arthropoda; Insecta; Diptera; Drosophilidae
Description: snoRNA:GG26006
Source: RNAcentral
ACACCAAAUAUGACUAGACUAACCUCUUAUGCCUAAUUUGCAUGCCGACAACGACUGUGAGAGCAAGAACCCAAAACUUACCUGAGCCG